GACUGAUACAGUAGGUAUGUAAGGUACUCACUAACAGAAUAAGGGUAUUAGAUGAAUUGACAGAUACAGUAGGUAUGUAAGGUACUCACUAACAGAAUAAUGGUAUUAGAUGAAUUGACUGAUACAGUAGGCGUGAGAAGGUACUCACCGGGAGCGAAGGCCAGGUUAUCGUUACACUCCUCCUCAGUACAGGAGCAGAUGAACAACGGUCCUCCAGAGCUCUUCUUCUCUUUCAUGGAACACGUAGAGCUGUUGUAGUCAUC
Long non-coding RNA from Oncorhynchus keta (chum salmon), 263 nucleotides. RefSeq lists it as uncharacterized. The record is from RefSeq and is a predicted model, not a curated record. NCBI's taxonomy places the organism in Eukaryota, Metazoa, Chordata, Actinopteri, Salmoniformes, Salmonidae. The transcript has 3 exons.